AACACAUGUAGCCACCAUCUUAUACUCUGUGCCAAAGAAAACAUCCAUGUCAUAUACAAUAGCUGGUGUUCAAUCUUUUAAAAAGCCUGUCUAUCAAGGCUUAAACAAGUGUUAUUAAUAAUUUGUUGGCACUUAAAAACCUCCACAUUUUAACCAUCACUGAAUCAACAAUUACAUAACGCUGAUAUGAUGUUCAGUCAGUUUAUGAUAAAUGUUAGUGUUGUCCUUGACUCCCCCUUUUCAGUACUCACAUACUCCCACAUGUAGAAAGCUACAAUAACGCUACAAUCAGAUCUCAGUAACAAAAUAAUGUGUGAGGUGAGCUCAGUCUUUACCCUGACCUGUUGGACCAGCCUGGGCUGCAGAGCCAGUUAUGUACACAGAUACCCUGUGAUUAGGACCUGGGGAACUGGUUCCUAACAACAGACUGAGUGACAGCAUGAGGAGGACUAGCAACACCAACUCCACCUUUCCCACACUGACUAACUGGUGGUCCUGAACUCAACAAGAACAAGUUUCAUUUAUUUUGGUUUUGGGGUGGGGAUGCUAUCGCUUUUUUUCCAGGUUUUGCAACAUCCAGACCCUCAGCCAUCAAAACUGUCCAUUGAAACCAAUAGAAGCCAUACUUGUUUUUGUGUGUGAUUUACAUAGGGUGUUUGUUCUAUGUUCCACUUUUCAGUGUGUGUGAGAUUGAUAGUGAUAAAGGAAGGUGUGUGUGUAUCGCACCAGUCUCAGCAUGCUUUCUGUUGAUUCUGUGAAACUAUAAAGUACCCUGCCUUAACAGAUCUGUGAUUCCAUAGAAGUGAAACGAACUGUGAUGUUGUUACACCUCCCUCUCUGUAUAGCUUGUACCUCACGGUCUUCUUCGUCUUCUUUCUCACAGCAAAGACCUUGGAAGUCGACAGCUUUUAUCCCCUCUAUACCUGCCUCCUACACAACAAACCCUGAGACAUACUGCAGUGUGAGCUCAGCAGCCAUCGCUGUAGCUGUCAUCCACAAAGAAUGCAGUCUCAAAGUAGUGAUGUGGGUCAGAGCCCAGGGGAGGUUUAGCUGGUGGUAACUGAGCCCAGUCUGACGCAGCAGCCCGGGGGGGUGCUUUCAUCUUAAGACAGGGUGUGA
This 1119-nucleotide long non-coding RNA is filed under the name Salmo trutta (river trout). RNAcentral describes it as "lncRNA (ENSSTUG00000007023.1)". Lineage: Eukaryota; Metazoa; Chordata; Actinopteri; Salmoniformes; Salmonidae. The record is from RNAcentral.